Molecule: ribosomal RNA, 499 nt
Filed under: uncultured Actinomycetes bacterium
Lineage: Bacteria; Bacillati; Actinomycetota; Actinomycetes
Description: bacterial SSU rRNA
Rfam family: Bacterial small subunit ribosomal RNA
Source: RNAcentral
AGAGUUUGAUCAUGGCUCAGGACGAACGCUGGCGGCGUGCUUAACACAUGCAAGUCGAACGGAAAGGCCCCUUCGGGGGUGCUCGAGUGGCGAACGGGUGAGUAACACGUGGGUGAUCUGCCCUGCACUUUGGGAUAAGCCUGGGAAACUGGGUCUAAUACCGGAUAGGACCAUGGCCUGCAUGGGUUGUGGUGGAAAGCUUUUGCGGUGUGGGAUGGGCCCGCGGCCUAUCAGCUUGUUGGUGGGGUGAUGGCCUACCAAGGCGACGACGGGUAGCCGGCCUGAGAGGGUGUCCGGCCACACUGGGACUGAGAUACGGCCCAGACUCCUACGGGAGGCGGCAGUGGGGAAUAUUGCACAAUGGGCGCAAGCCUGAUGCAGCGACGCCGCGUGAGGGAUGACGGCCUUCGGGUUGUAAACCUCUUUCACCAGGGACGAAGCGUAAGUGACGGUACCUGGAGAAGAAGCACCGGCCAACUACGUGCCAGCAGCCGCGGUA